UACGUAGGGACCGAGCGUUGUCCGGAAUCAUUGGGCGUAAAGGGUGCGUAGGUGGCAUGGUUAGUCGGGUGUGAAAUCCCGGGGCUCAACCCCGGAACUGCACUCGAUACUGCCGUGCUGGAGUACUGGAGAGGAGACUGGAAUUUACGGUGUAGCAGUGAAAUGCGUAGAUAUCGUAAGGAAGACCGGUGGCGAAAGCUAGUCUCUGGACAGUCACUGACACUGAGGCACGAAGGCUAGGGGAGCAAACGGG
Molecule: ribosomal RNA, 253 nt
Filed under: uncultured bacterium
Lineage: Bacteria
Description: partial 16S ribosomal RNA
Rfam family: Bacterial small subunit ribosomal RNA
Source: RNAcentral